CCUACGGGAGGCAGCAGUAAGGAGUCUUCCACAAUGGACGAAAGUCUGAUGGAGCAACGCCGCGUGCAGGAUGAAGGCUUUCGGGUCGUAAACUGCUUUUAUAUGGGAAGAUUAUGACGGUACCAUAUGAAUAAGGACCGGCUAACUACGUGCCAGCAGCCGCGGUAAUACGUAGGGUCCAAGCGAUAUCCGGAAUUACUGGGCGUAAAGCGUGUGUAGGUGGAUUAAUAAGUGUGAUGCGAAAUCCGGCGGCUCAACCGUUUGGACUGUGUCGCAUACUGUUAGUCUAGAGGACGGCAGAGGUAAGUGGAAUUACGGGUGUAGCAGUGAAAUGCGUAGAUAUCCGUAGGAACACCAAUGGCGAAGGCAGCUUACUGGGCCACACCUGACACUGAGACACGAAGGCGUGGGGAGCGAACAGGAUUAGAUACCCUGGUAGUCCACGCCGUAAACGAUGCAUACUAUUAGUAUGGGGUAUCGACCCCCUGUGCUGAGAAGCUAACGCGAUAAGUAUGCCGCCUGGGGAGUACGAGCGCAAGCUUAAAACUUAAAGGAAUUGACGG
Molecule: ribosomal RNA, 563 nt
Filed under: uncultured bacterium
Lineage: Bacteria
Description: bacterial SSU rRNA
Rfam family: Bacterial small subunit ribosomal RNA
Source: RNAcentral